This 1503-nucleotide long non-coding RNA is filed under the name Malus domestica (apple). RNAcentral's name for it is "long non-coding RNA (MDOM_LNC004521)". The record is from RNAcentral. Lineage: Eukaryota; Viridiplantae; Streptophyta; Magnoliopsida; Rosales; Rosaceae.
AGGAUUAAUUAAUAUGUUAAUUAAUCAAACGAAUAAGUUCGUUAAAGACCUCGGGAUAGUUUUGGACCCUAAGGCCCAAUGAGCUUCGAACGUCAAGCCCAUUGACUUAAGUUGUAUGACAAUUUAAUGAAUAAAGAUUCACAAAGGCCCAAAAGCCCAAAUCCUUUAUGUGGCCGGCCAUGUGUGUUGAAUUAGGGUUUUUGGUUCUUUAGGUCAUUUAAAGAAGUGACUAUAUAAAGAACUUUAUAGCCUAAAAUUCUAAAAAAGGGGUUUCUUUUAGGAAAUUGGAGAGAACACAAAGCUCUCAUUUCUCUUUAAAGAGGCUGGCCCCUUUGGAGGGAUUAGCUAGCAAUCCCACUCCUCCAAGGUCACUCAUUUCUUCUCCAAUCUAACCUUGGUGUAGACACUUAGAGGUUCCCAAUUUUGGGAACUUGGAGAACCAUAUUCUUCCAUCCAAAUCCACGGAUCUAAGAAGCAAGGAAUGAAGGCCCUCUCUUUGGGUGAUUAGCCUUUGCUUACGCAAAGAGGAAUCUACAAAGGUAUAAAUUUCUCAACUCACUUUGAUUUGAGUUGAGUCUGAAGGAAAAAAUUAGUCCUAGCUAAGAACAAGUAAGAACAUUUGAAUACAUAUGCAAACUAUUAACACUUUAAAGUAGGCAUGCAUUAAAAAACAAUUCAUAAAACCCAUGACUUUCAAAGCCUAGUAUAUGGUGAACCAAUAAACUCUUUAACAACAUUAAAGAGAAGUAAAGAUUUAGAGUUUCUUUACCCUUGAAGCUCAUCCUUGUUUACACAAGGGAUUCACCCAAGUGGAGGGCCUUCAAGUCACCUCCUAGCUCCUUGGAUAUUGCUUGUGAUUUCCUUCUCCUUUUUGUGCUCCUUUGGAAUUUGAGGAUGUAAGGAAAGGAUCUCCAAAAACACCAAAGAUUUGGUGUCUCUAAGUCUCCACACCAAGGGUUAAGUGUGAAGAUGAAAUGGAUGACUUAGAGAAGAAAAGAUUGCUAGAUUAAUCUCUCUAAGUGGCCGGCCUCUUUAGAGAAAUAGAGAAAGUGUUUCACCUCAUUUCACCAAGAAAAACCCUCUUGAGAAAUAAAGCUAUAAAGUUGAUUUUAUACUUCAUUUCAAGUGAGUGGCAAACUUGUAAUUAAUCUAAGUUUGCUACCCUCACCCUUAUGGCCGGCCUUACCUUUGUUAUUGGGCUAAUUGCCCAUUUUGUUUUAGUUGUCAUACAACUUAAACAUAAUGGGCCUUGUGGACCAAAACGCUUUUGAGUGAUAGUUUGUUUCAUGUCUACUAUCCAAUGUGAUACUUAUCUAUAUGAUUCCCUUGAAUAUGAUUUGGAACAUUCUUCCUAAGUCAUAUUCAUAUGCUUUGGCCAAAGACUUUAGAAUCAUAUCUUAGAGUAUUCUCCUUCCACCAUGGAAGGUUAGAGUUCCCUUGUUGUGCAUUCAUAUGCCUACACGACUAGAUAGCUUGACCCCAACAAUGCCGUGGACACUCCGA